UACGGGGGGAGCAAGCGUUGUUCGGAUUUACUGGGCGUAAAGGGCGCGUAGGCGGCCACCGCAAGUCGACUGUGAAAUCUCCGGGCUUAACCCGGAAAGGUCAGCCGAUACUGCGGGGCUAGAGUGCAGAAGGGGCAACUGGAAUUCUCGGUGUAGCAGUGAAAUGCGUAGAUAUCGAGAGGAACACCUGCGGCGAAGGCGGGUUGCUGGGCUGACACUGACGCUGAUGCGCGAAAGCUAGGGGAGCGAACGGG
Molecule: ribosomal RNA, 254 nt
Filed under: uncultured bacterium
Lineage: Bacteria
Description: partial 16S ribosomal RNA
Rfam family: Bacterial small subunit ribosomal RNA
Source: RNAcentral